RNAcentral lists this ribosomal RNA (395 nucleotides) under uncultured bacterium. Its description in RNAcentral is "partial 16S ribosomal RNA". It matches the Rfam family "Bacterial small subunit ribosomal RNA", at positions 523 to 918 of the family's 1533-position model. The record is from RNAcentral.
AUACGGAGGAUCCGAGCGUUAUCCGGAUUUAUUGGGUUUAAAGGGUGCGCAGGCGGCCAUUUAAGUCAGCGGUUAAAUCGUGGGGCUCAACCCCAUUCUGCCGUUGAUACUGGGUGGCUUGAUUGCGGUCGAGGUUGGCGGAAUUCGUUGUGUAGCGGUGAAAUGCAUAGAUAUGACGAAGAACACCGAUUGCGUAGGCAGCUGACCAGACCGCAAAUGACGCUCAUGCACGAAAGUGCGGGGAUCGAACAGGAUUAGAUACCCUGGUAGUCCGCACAGUAAACGAUGAUCACUAGGUGUCCGUGGGUAUGACCCAUGGGUGCCGCAGCCAACGCAAUAAGUGAUCCACCUGGGGAGUACGUUCGCAAGAAUGAAACUUAAAGGAAUUGACGGGG